UUGUUUUCAUCAAUUUGAGAUGAAGAGUGAGUUAGUUCGUAUGGUUUUACGCCGCUUUUAGCAAUAUUCCAGCAAUAUCAUGGCGGGGGACACCAGAAAUGAGCUUCACAUAUUGAUCCCUUGUGGAAAUCG
Molecule: long non-coding RNA, 132 nt
Organism: Haliotis rubra (blacklip abalone)
Lineage: Eukaryota; Metazoa; Mollusca; Gastropoda; Lepetellida; Haliotidae
Exons: 3
Source: RefSeq, a predicted model, not a curated record